AUAUUUGGUGUCUAAUCUUUUUUCUUCUUUUCUUUUCUUUUCUUUUCUUAUUUUCCCUCCCAA
Molecule: non-coding RNA, 63 nt
Filed under: Spumella elongata
Lineage: Eukaryota; Chrysophyceae; Chromulinales; Chromulinaceae
Source: RNAcentral